This 397-nucleotide ribosomal RNA is filed under the name uncultured bacterium. Its description in RNAcentral is "partial 16S ribosomal RNA". It matches the Rfam family "Bacterial small subunit ribosomal RNA", at positions 523 to 918 of the family's 1533-position model. The record is from RNAcentral.
AUACGUAGGGGGCGAGCGUUGUCCGGAAUGAUUGGGCGUAAAGGGCGCGUAGGCGGCCCGGUAAGUCUGGAGUGAAAGUCCUGUUUUUAAGAUGGGAAUUGCUUUGGAUACUGUCGGGCUUGAGUGCAGGAGAAGUAAGUGGAAUUCCCAGUGAAGCGGUGAAAUGGGUAGAGAUUGGGAGGAACACCAGUGGCGAAGGCGACUUACUGGGCCGUAACUGACGCUGAGGCGCGAAAGCGUGGGGAGCGAACAGGAUUAGAUACCCUGGUAGUCCACGCGGUAAACGAUGAAUGCUAGGUGUUGCGGGUAUCGAUCCCUGCAGUGCCGGAGUAAACACAAUAAGCAUUCCGCCUGGGGAGUACGGCCGCAAGGUUGAAACUUAAAUGAAUGGGCGGGG